RNAcentral lists this ribosomal RNA (113 nucleotides) under Phascolarctos cinereus (koala). Lineage: Eukaryota; Metazoa; Chordata; Mammalia; Diprotodontia; Phascolarctidae. The record is from RNAcentral.
AUCUGUGGCCAUACCACCGGGUAAAUGCCUGAUCUUCUUUGAUCUCAACAAAAUAAGCAGAUUUGGGCCUAGCUGGACAGGAGACUUCUUGGGAAUACUAGGUGAUAAAGGCU